GUCCACGCCCUAAACGAUGACGACUAGUUGUUGGAGGAGUUAAAUCCUUUAGUAACGCAGCUAACGCGCGAAGUCGUCCGCCUGGGGAGUACGGUCGCAAGAUUAAAACUCAAAGGAAUUGACGGGUGCCCGCACAAGCGGUGGAUGAUGUGGUUUAAUUCGAUGCAACGCGAAAACUUUACCUACCCUUGACAUGCUAGGAACUCUGCAGAGAUGCAGAGGUGCCCGAAAGGGAACCUAGACACAGGUGCUGCAUGGCUGUCGU
This 265-nucleotide ribosomal RNA is filed under the name uncultured bacterium. RNAcentral describes it as "partial 16S ribosomal RNA". It matches the Rfam family "Bacterial small subunit ribosomal RNA", at positions 793 to 1055 of the family's 1533-position model. The record is from RNAcentral.